Molecule: long non-coding RNA, 454 nt
Filed under: Pelobates cultripes (western spadefoot toad)
Lineage: Eukaryota; Metazoa; Chordata; Amphibia; Anura; Pelobatidae
Source: RNAcentral
CAGGCGACCACACCGACCCCCAGUCACUGGGGCAAACUAGUAUACCGCAUGAGACUCUCUGGCGCCGACAGUGACCCGACUGGGGCACGGAGCCCAUUGGGGCUUGAGCCGGGAUGAGACGGCCGCUCUCCCGGGUCUCCAGCCGGCGUCACGCUUCCCCCCCCCUCUGGACCGGGGGGGUCAUCCCGGUCUGCAAGGGCACUAGCCAGCACAUCAACCCGGACCUAAACAGCCGCUGGUGAGGAUUAGCCGCUGGGCGAAGGCCCACAAGAUGGCCGCCGCGCGCCGACCAUGUGCGUGAGCUGCCUGUGAGAUCGAGCGGAUGCUUACCUAAAAGUGAGGAAGCCAACGGAGCAAAUGAAUGAGCACACACUGCUACCCUGCCGGGUCCUUACAAAAAAAAAGCAAAGUUUAUGGACACUGCAAAUAAGACCUCACCGCACUCUAAUGGAAG